Molecule: ribosomal RNA, 254 nt
Filed under: uncultured bacterium
Lineage: Bacteria
Description: partial 16S ribosomal RNA
Rfam family: Bacterial small subunit ribosomal RNA
Source: RNAcentral
UACAGAGGGUGCGAGCGUUGUCCGGAAUCACUGGGCGUAAAGGGCGCGUAGGUGGUGGCUUAAGCGUGCGGUGAAAGCUCGGAGCUCAACUCCGAGUCGGCCGUGCGAACUGGGCUCACUGGAGCAUAGUAGAGGCAGGUGGAAUUCCGGGUGUAGCGGUGGAAUGCGUAGAGAUCCGGAAGAGCACCGGUGGCGAAGGCGGCCUGCUGGGCUAUGGCUGACACUGAGGCGCGACAGCGUGGGGAGCAAACAGG